UCUUCAAUGUUAGCGGCGGACGGGUGAGUAACACGUGGGCAAUCUGCCCGUAAGACUGGGAUAACUCCGGGAAACCGGGGCUAAUACCGGAUAACACUUUUCAUCUCCUGGUGAAAAGUUGAAAGAUGGUUUCGGCUAUCACUUACGGAUGAGCCCGCGGCGCAUUAGCUAGUUGGUGAGGUAACGGCUCACCAAGGCGACGAUGCGUAGCCGACCUGAGAGGGUGAUCGGCCACACUGGGACUGAGACACGGCCCAGACUCCUACGGGAGGCAGCAGUAGGGAAUCUUCCGCAAUGGACGAAAGUCUGACGGAGCAACGCCGCGUGAGUGAAGAAGGUUUUCGGAUCGUAAAACUCUGUUGUUAGGGAAGAACACGUACGAGAGUAACUGCUCGUACCUUGACGGUACCUAACCAGAAAGCCACGGCUAACUACGUGCCAGCAGCCGCGGUAAUACGUAGGUGGCAAGCGUUGUCCGGAAUUAUUGGGCGUAAAGCGCGCGCAGGCGGUUCCUUAAGUCUGAUGUGAAAGCCCCCGGCUCAACCGGGGAGGGUCAUUGGAAACUGGGGAACUUGAGUGCAGGAGAGGAAAGCGGAAUUCCACGUGUAGCGGUGAAAUGCGUAGAUAUGUG
Molecule: ribosomal RNA, 631 nt
Filed under: Jeotgalibacillus sp. M12
Lineage: Bacteria; Bacillati; Bacillota; Bacilli; Caryophanales; Caryophanaceae
Description: bacterial SSU rRNA
Rfam family: Bacterial small subunit ribosomal RNA
Source: RNAcentral